UACGGAGGAUCCAAGCGUUAUCCGGAUUUAUUGGGUUUAAAGGGUGCGUAGGCGGCCUAUUAAGUCAGGGGUGAAAGACGGUAGCUUAACUAUCGCAGUGCCCUUGAUACUGAUGGGCUUGAAUGUACUAGAGGUAGGCGGAAUGUGACAAGUAGCGGUGAAAUGCAUAGAUAUGUCUCAGAACACCGAUUGCGAAGGCAGCUUACUAUGGUCUUAUUGACGCUGAGGCACGAAAGCGUGGGGAUCAAACAGG
Molecule: ribosomal RNA, 253 nt
Filed under: uncultured bacterium
Lineage: Bacteria
Description: partial 16S ribosomal RNA
Rfam family: Bacterial small subunit ribosomal RNA
Source: RNAcentral